CGUGUAGGCGGUUGGUCAAGUCUGGUGUGAAAGCCCGGGGCUCAGCUCCGGAAGUGCGCUGGAAACUAGCCGACUGGAGCGCGAUAGAGGAGGGUGGAAUUCCUGGUGUAGCGGUGAAAUGCGUAGAUAUCAGGAGGAACACCGGCGGCGAAGGCGGCCCUCUGGAUCGUUGCUGACGCUGAGACGCGAAAGCGUGGGGAGCAAACAGGAUUAGAUACCCUGGUAGUCCACGCUGUAAACUAUGGGUACUAGGUGUUCGGGGUGUUGACCCCCUGAGUGCCGACGCUAACGCAUUAAGUACCCCGCCUGGGGACUACGGCCGCAAGGCUAAA
Molecule: ribosomal RNA, 332 nt
Filed under: uncultured bacterium
Lineage: Bacteria
Description: bacterial SSU rRNA
Rfam family: Bacterial small subunit ribosomal RNA
Source: RNAcentral